Long non-coding RNA from Nilaparvata lugens (brown planthopper), 583 nucleotides. RefSeq lists it as uncharacterized. The transcript has 4 exons. The record is from RefSeq and is a predicted model, not a curated record. NCBI's taxonomy places the organism in Eukaryota, Metazoa, Arthropoda, Insecta, Hemiptera, Delphacidae.
AUAACUUUGAAACUCCCGGGGUAAUUCAUGCUUGUGCACUACUGCGCUUGAGCGACAGCCAUUAAAGAUGUCCUGUGCUCCUGUCUCCUUCAGUUUUCAGUAGUUGAAGGUGAAGUUCGUUCAUUGUUUGUUUAUCCUUUAUUUUAUCGCAUCAUCAAGUUGAUGAUAAUUUUUGAUUGCUGAAGGUCUUAAAUUAAGACGAAGGUGGGAAUAGAACUGCAGAUACAUAUAUACUAAAAUCCACCAUGACAGAUGAAUAUGAUGCCAAGGAUUAGAUUUGAAAAAAGUUCUUCUCCUCUCUACAUUUGAUGAAAGCCAUUUUCAGCAAAGGUGGGAAUAGAACUGCAGACGCAUAUACCAAAAUCCACCAUGACAGACGAAUAUGCUGCCAACUACAGUUUUAGAUUUAAAACUCCUUUCUACAUCUGAUGGAAACCAUUUUCAGACCAAGAGUAGAGAGACUACGCCUCAUGAAGCUCAAAUCGAGGACGAUAGCAGUUCAAAGUAAAAAUAUAUAAUUAGUUAUAAAUUGAAAGUUCAAUUUUUGUAAUAUUUAAUAAAAAUCAUUGCAUUUUAUUGAAAA